GUGGGGAAUAUUGGACAAUGGGCGCAAGCCUGAUCCAGCCAUGCCGCGUGAGUGAAGAAGGCCCUAGGGUUGUAAAGCUCUUUCAGCGGGGAAGAUAAUGACGGUACCCGCAGAAGAAGCCCCGGCUAACUUCGUGCCAGCAGCCGCGGUAAUACGAAGGGGGCUAGCGUUGUUCGGAUUUACUGGGCGUAAAGCGCGCGUAGGCGGAUUGUUAAGUCAGGGGUGAAAUGCCGAGGCUCAACCUCGGAACUGCCUUUGAUACUGGCAAUCUGGAGUUCGGGAGAGGUGAGUGGAAUUCCGAGUGUAGAGGUGAAAUUCGUAGAUAUUCGGAGGAACACCAGAAGCGAAGGCGGCUCACUGGCCCGAUACUGACGCUGAGGCGCGAAAGCGUGGGGAGCAAACAGGAUUAGAAACCCCAGUAGUCC
This 425-nucleotide ribosomal RNA is filed under the name uncultured bacterium. RNAcentral describes it as "bacterial SSU rRNA". It matches the Rfam family "Bacterial small subunit ribosomal RNA", at positions 354 to 796 of the family's 1533-position model. The record is from RNAcentral.